Molecule: ribosomal RNA, 259 nt
Filed under: uncultured bacterium
Lineage: Bacteria
Description: partial 16S ribosomal RNA
Rfam family: Bacterial small subunit ribosomal RNA
Source: RNAcentral
UACGUAGGGUCCGAGCGUUGUCCGGAAUUAUUGGGUGCGUAAAAGGGCUCGUAGGCGGUUCGUCACGUCGGGAGUGAAAACUCGGAGCUUAACUCCGAGCCUGACUUCCGAUACGGGCAGACUAGAGGUGAGGCAGGGGAGAGCGGAACUCCUGGUGUAGCGGUGGAAUGCGCAGAUAUCAGGAAGAACACCGGUGGCGAAGGCGGCUCUCUGGGCCUUACCUGACGCUGAGGAGCGAAAGGCGUGGGUAGCGAACAGG